GGCUCGCAGGCGGUUUCUUAAGUCUGAUGUGAAAGCCCCCGGCUCAACCGGGGAGGGUCAUUGGAAACUGGGAAACUUGAGUGCAGAAGAGGAGAGUGGAAUUCCACGUGUAGCGGUGAAAUGCGUAGAGAUGUGGAGGAACACCAGUGGCGAAGGCGACUCUCUGGUCUGUAACUGACGCUGAGGAGCGAAAGCGUGGGGAGCGAACAGGAUUAGAUACCCUGGUAGUCCACGCCGUAAACGAUGAGUGCUAAGUGUUAGGGGGUUUCCGCCCCUUAGUGCUGCAGCUAACGCAUUAAGCACUCCGCCUGGGGAGUACGGUCGCAAGACUGAAACUCAAAGGAAUUGACGGGGGCCCGCACAAGCGGUGGAGCAUGUGGUUUAAUUCGAAGCAACGCGAAGAACCUUACCAGGUCUUGACAUCCUCUGACAACCCUAGAGAUAGGGCUUUCCCUUCGGGGACAGAGUGACAGGUGGUGCAUGGUUGUCGUCAGCUCGUGUCGUGAGAUGUUGGGUUAAGUCCCGCAACGAGCGCAACCCUUGAUCUUAGUUGCCAGCAUUCAGUUGGGCACUCUAAGGUGACUGCCGGUGACAAACCGGAGGAGGGUGGGGAUGACGUCAAAUCAUCAUGCCCCUUAUGACCUGGGCUACACACGUGCUA
RNAcentral lists this ribosomal RNA (661 nucleotides) under Bacillus pumilus. RNAcentral's name for it is "bacterial SSU rRNA". It matches the Rfam family "Bacterial small subunit ribosomal RNA", at positions 566 to 1227 of the family's 1533-position model. Lineage: Bacteria; Bacillati; Bacillota; Bacilli; Caryophanales; Bacillaceae. The record is from RNAcentral.